GAACGUAAAAUCGUUAUUUCUAAAGAAAGACAAAAUGUUAGGCCACAUUAAAAAAAAAGUUUGGUCCAUCACAAUUUAGUAUUUUGAAUCUUUGAUUUAGUUCCAUUCUGAUAGAAACCAAAGCUUACUAUAAAACAAUAAAUAUUGAUAGACAUGUAAAAUCAAAACCUAACUUGUACUUGUAUUAUCAAACUAAUUUUUUUUUAACAAAGUAUGAUCAAACUAAUUAAAUCUACAUUAUUAUACCUUAAAUUUGAAACCAAA
Molecule: long non-coding RNA, 264 nt
Filed under: Capsella rubella
Lineage: Eukaryota; Viridiplantae; Streptophyta; Magnoliopsida; Brassicales; Brassicaceae
Description: long non-coding RNA (CRUB_LNC003333)
Source: RNAcentral